AGGACGAACGCUGGCGGUGUGCUUCACACAUGCAAGUCGAACGAGGUAGCAAUACCUAGUGGCGGACGGGUGAGUAACGCGUGGGAAUCUGCCUGAGAUGGGGGAUAGCUAGCCGAAAGGCUAAUUAAUACCGCAUAUGUAUAUAUUUCGACAGUUUUAUAUAUAAAAGUAGCAAUACGUCUUUAGAUGAGCCCGCGCCCGAUUAGCUAGUUGGCGGGGUAACGCCCACCAAGGCUUCGAUCGGUA
Molecule: ribosomal RNA, 246 nt
Filed under: uncultured bacterium
Lineage: Bacteria
Description: partial small subunit ribosomal RNA
Rfam family: Bacterial small subunit ribosomal RNA
Source: RNAcentral